AAAUCUCUCAUCAGUCUCCUGGCUCGGCCCUUUGAUGGGUUGGCCCACUUAAUUACCCUGACUAAAAAAGUCUUACUGGAUCUCUUCUCCCUUUUCUUCCCCACAGGUUAAUAACAGAACUCUGGAAGGAUCCUAUUCACAAACAGCUAUCGGGGGUCAUGGAUGAAAAAAGCUUAAGAAGCCCUGGUCUAUACAAAUGAGUCUAAACAAUAAACCUAAUCCUCUUCUCUUCUGAGCUGAUACAAAAGGGAAGGAGAAUUUAUGCCUCUCACAUAUUGGGAAGGUAACCAGAAAAAUUCAAUUUAGGACCUACAGAGUGAGUUUGGCUGGUGAGACUCCCUUGGAGAAAUUUCUUCAUCCAGAGGGAUAAGAGAAGGAAGAUGCUAAGUAAACAAGAGCAAGAAGAAAAAGAAUAUGAAGCAAGCUGAGUUAUCACUUCCAACCAAUAUAUAAAACUUUCUUUUUUCUUCCUUUCUCUUAAACACCCCUUUUUUUCCAAGGCAUGUGUGGGCAACGAUGGCGCCUAAAAAGGAAAGCAGAGAAAUUAAUUAUUCCAUUAAUGUUCAAGAUGCUUGAAGGUUUCAAGCUGUUAAAUUUUUGGAAAGGAGGAAGAGACUCUUUUUUGGCAAUUCAUAGGCAACCAAACAAUUCAAAAACGGUCAUCAUCACCAGCAGAAGGUUAAUAAAAGGCUACUAAAUUAUGUUUAACCAAGACUAUUGAUCUACUGAGAAGACAAUUUACUAAGCUAUCAAGUGAAGAGAGAAGAAAAAUAUCUGGAGUAACAGGAGAAGGAGAUUUAAGGAAUAACAUUCUGAAAAAUUCAACAGUAUUCAAGUCCCAAAACUGAAUCUGUACUAGAAUCUGAGCAUGUUAGCGCUGCAAAGGCCCUUGAGGUCCAACUCUUCAUUUUAUAGAUGAGGCUGCAGAGUACCAACGGAUCAGAAGUGACUGGCCAAACUAAGCCAGUAAGGACCAGCUUUGGGUCAGGGCUCUUUCUUUUAAAUUACAUGGCUAGGCUGCAGCUGACUCCAAAGUGACUUCUCUGUCUGAAUCAUACUAUUCACGAUUUCCAAGAAUCCUGAGGAAAAGAAGGUUAUGCCAAUAAUUUUAGAAUCUCACAGUGCAAACUGGCAAAAAGAAAGGUGACUUAUGGCCUUCAAGUGUAAGGAAUACAGUGAAAGAAUAAAACCAGCAGUAGUAGCCCAAAUUCCCUUUUCUCACCAGUGGGAAGUUUUGAAUAUCAACUAGUUCCCAGGAGUCUUUUCUUCUCCCAAAUAAUAUGAAUCAGAAUCAGUCCCCAAGCUCUUUGACCUCUGUACGCAAUGUCUGGUCUUGCUGAAUCCAGAGGAGAACCCUAUCCCAGGAGUCCUUGACUGGCUGAAGAGAGAGCACCCCAUUCCCUCCAGAGCCACAACAGGAAGCCCAGUUCCCUCAGGAUCUAUUUCCAUUAUUCUCCAUGAUUAUGGUUUGUUGUGAAUCUUCUGGCUAGCUAUCUUUGCUCUCCUCAUACAAGACUAUUGGUAUCCUGAGCCUCUCUCUUUGAGUUUGCUUUACGGCAUGAGGAUCUGAGAACAAGAUUACAAAAGAGACGAAUGAGUAAAUGGUACCUGUCAGUAUCUUGUUAAUUAUUAUCAAAAUUUCGUGCCUAUCUCACUUGGUAGAAUGAUAAAGAUUCACUCAAGAGACUGAAAAGUAAAAAUUUAAGAAGUUUUUCAGAAUCUAAAGCAACCCAAAAAGCUGUAUUUCACAGAGUUCUUUGCAUAGAAAUCAAUAAGGAUAACAUUACUAGAACAUCCAUCAGUACAUCGUAGGUUUUUCCUGGGGGUCUGGCAUGUUUUAGCUUAGGCAGACUUUUGACAUUUACAUCUUGACAUCCCUAUACUCUUACCAUUUAGUAGCACUAAAGACAGGACACCAAUUUAUUGCCUUCAUUUCUUGUUCUAAUUUUGUCUACUUUUCCAAACCAUGCGGAUACCUAUCAAUAAUCCAUCCCUAAAACUACACUAGUACACUUUUUAAAACUAAUAAA
Long non-coding RNA from Antechinus flavipes (yellow-footed antechinus), 2030 nucleotides. RefSeq lists it as uncharacterized. The record is from RefSeq and is a predicted model, not a curated record. Lineage: Eukaryota; Metazoa; Chordata; Mammalia; Dasyuromorphia; Dasyuridae. The transcript is spliced from 6 exons.